Molecule: ribosomal RNA, 460 nt
Filed under: uncultured bacterium
Lineage: Bacteria
Description: partial 16S ribosomal RNA
Rfam family: Bacterial small subunit ribosomal RNA
Source: RNAcentral
CCUACGGGCGGCAGCAGUGAGGAAUAUUGGUCAAUGGCCGGAAGGCUGAACCAGCCAUGCCGCGUGAAGGUCAGUGCCCUAUGGGCGUUAAACUUCUUUUGUGCGGGAGCAAUAAUGGUCACGUGUGGCCAGACGAGAGUACCGUACGAAUAAGCAUCGGCUAACUCCGUGCCAGCAGCCGCGGUAAUACUGGGGAGGCAAGCGUUAUCCGGAUUAAUUGGGUUUAAAGGGUGCGUAGGCUGUGAGGUAAGUCAGCGGUGAAAUGCCCCCGCUCAACGGGGUGAAGUGCCAUUGAUACUGCCGUGCUGGAAUGCGGAUGACGUGGGAGGAAUGUGUGGUGUAGCGGUGAAAUGCAUAGAUAUCACACAGAACACCGAUUGCGAAGGCAUCUCACGAAUCCGAGAUUGACGCUGAUGCACGAAAGCGUGGGUAUCAAACAGGAUUAGAUACCCGAGUAGUC